AUCCCACGGAAGUCAAGGGAAAGUGCGACAGCUUGUGAAGGAAAAAGUGUGGAAAUGAAAGUGGCAGGGUCCUCGAGCUCAGCUUUUAAUACAGCUUCAAGGGAUUAUCUUUCGCCUGAGCUGGCAAAGUUAAUAGAUCGAUUACUUGAAAUGAAAGUGGACCCGAGGACAGAGAAAGAAAAACCUAAUUACCCGAUGAACGAACACGCUUUCACAAUGGCGCUAUAACGAGGACCAAGCCAUGCAAAAUUCACGAGUCCCAUUCAACGG
Drosophila serrata is the source of this 270-nucleotide long non-coding RNA. The record is from RefSeq and is a predicted model, not a curated record. NCBI's taxonomy places the organism in Eukaryota, Metazoa, Arthropoda, Insecta, Diptera, Drosophilidae.